Mustela lutreola (European mink) is the source of this 736-nucleotide long non-coding RNA. RefSeq lists it as uncharacterized. The transcript is spliced from 3 exons. The record is from RefSeq and is a predicted model, not a curated record. NCBI's taxonomy places the organism in Eukaryota, Metazoa, Chordata, Mammalia, Carnivora, Mustelidae.
GACAUCAUCACCAGGUAUGCCAAACACCAACACAGGAAUAGUGAUUACAGGAAGUGAUUGAUUUGACUGUGCCUAGAAAUGGACGUCCCCUUUCCAAUCGAUACUACGGCUCUGUGAGCAGCUGAGCUGGUAGCUCCUGUCCAAGCAGUGAAGCCUCAGAGGUACCAUCUUGAGGUCCUGCCAUCUGCUCUCCACGGGUCCUGCAUUCCCAGCUAUGCAGAUGGGGAGCUCCUUUCCCACCCCAAAUUGCAGCAGUCCCCAAACUGCAGAAGAUUCACCAAGCCUUAUCCCAUAAGAAAGAGUCCAUUUUGAGCUCUGUUUCCUGCAUCAUUCGAAAGGAAUGCUCCUAGCCUAACAUCUCCUUAGUCUGGAGGACGAAAAGUUUUUCCUAAGUCAGGAAAACACAUUGAAAACCGAAAAAAGGAAAGAUCAAGUAAUGUGGAGAGAUAACAACAAUUUCAAAAAGUAAGAAAAAUGGGAAGGGAUAGGCCAAACAGAUAUUCAAAGAUGUUGUGGAGUUAUGGCAUGGUACUGACACAAGAAUACAUGGACAUCAAUUGAAUGAAACAUAAAAGCAAGACUUUAAUAUUUGCAACAUAAUUCAAUGAGAAAAGGGAAGAUCAUAAAAUAAGUUAUAGUGGUAUAAAUCAUUAGCAAUUUGGAGGCAGAUAUUCUCUUACCGUGUGUGCGCACGCACACACACACACACACACACACAUACACACACACCGGGAGA